ACCCGCCUAGCUCAAUCGGAUAGAGCGUCAGACUCUUAUAGUAGUCUAGUGUUUGGUUGACCUGAAGGCUGCGAGUUGGACCCUCGCGGUGGGCU
Molecule: non-coding RNA, 95 nt
Organism: Marasmius sp. AFHP31
Lineage: Eukaryota; Fungi; Basidiomycota; Agaricomycetes; Agaricales; Marasmiaceae
Source: the annotation of a GenBank genome assembly